AGCGGUAGGAGAGGUGGCUGCAUCUCUUGAGAGCGGCGGACGGGUGAGUAAUGCCUAGGAAUCUGCCUAGUGGUGGGGGAGUAACGUUCGGAAACGGACGCUAAUACCGCAUACGUCCUACGGGAGAAAGCGGGGGAUCUUCGGACCUCGCGCCAUUAGAUGAGCCUAGGUCGGAUUAGCUAGUUGGUGAGGUAAUGGCUCACCAAGGCGACGAUCCGUAACUGGUCUGAGAGGAUGAUCAGUCACACUGGAACUGAGACACGGUCCAGACUCCUACGGGAGGCAGCAGUGGGGAAUAUUGGACAAUGGGCGAAAGCCUGAUCCAGCCAUGCCGCGUGUGUGAAGAAGGUCUUCGGAUUGUAAAGCACUUUAAGUUGGGAGGAAGGGCAGUAAGUUAAUACCUUGCUGUUUUGACGUUACCAACAGAAUAAGCACCGGCUAACUUCGUG
RNAcentral lists this ribosomal RNA (449 nucleotides) under uncultured bacterium. RNAcentral's name for it is "bacterial SSU rRNA". It matches the Rfam family "Bacterial small subunit ribosomal RNA", at positions 65 to 507 of the family's 1533-position model. The record is from RNAcentral.